This 322-nucleotide ribosomal RNA is filed under the name uncultured eukaryote. RNAcentral's name for it is "partial 18S ribosomal RNA". It matches the Rfam family "Eukaryotic small subunit ribosomal RNA", at positions 1470 to 1796 of the family's 1831-position model. The record is from RNAcentral.
CCCUUAGAUGUCCUGGGCCGCACGCGCGUUACACUGAUGCAUUCAACGAGCUUAUAACCUUGGCCGAGAGGCCUGGGCAAUCUUGUUAACGUGCAUCGUGAUAGGGAUAGAUUAUUGAAAUUAUUAAUCUUGAACGAGGAAUUCCUAGUAAACGCAGAUCAUCAAUCUGCAUUGAUUACGUCCCUGCCCUUUGUACACACCGCCCGUCGCACCUACCGAUUGGAUGGUCCGGUGAAAUCUCGGGACGGCGGCUUGGUCGCUUGCGUCCGACUGCUGAAACUUGAUUAAACCAUAUCAUUUAGAGGAAGGUGAANUCGUANCA